AUAUCAGUCAUGCAUAGCAUAUCAAUAAGCGGAGGAAAAGAAACUAACAAGGAUUCCCUUAGUAACGGCGAGUGAAGCGGGAAGAGCUCAAAUUUGAAAUCUUCAAGGUUCUACCUUGACGAAUUGUAGUUUAUAGAAGUGUUUUCUGUUAGUGGAGUGGCAAAAGUUCUUUGGAAUAGGACAUCAUAGAGGGUGAGAAUCCCGUAUUUGGUCAUUCCUCCUAGCGUUGUGAUACACUUUCAACGAGUCGGAUUGUUUGGGAAUGCAGUCCAAAAUGGGUGGUAAAUUUCAUCUAAAGCUAAAUAUUGGCGAGAGACCGAUAGCGAACAAGUACCGUGAGGGGAAGAUGAAAAGAACUUUGAAAAGAGAGUUAAACAGUACGUGAAAUUGUCGAAAGGGAAGCGUUUGACACCAGUGUUGUUUUUCCGAAAAUCAAUUACGAAUGUUUUGUUUUUAAGAAGUUAUGACUUCAUCGGCUUGCUUCUUUCUUUACGAAACUUUCUUAAUGCACUUUUCGGUUAACAAGUCAACAUCAAUUUCUUUUGUUGUAAAAGGGUAUGAGGAAGGUGGCUUUCUUUUCGGAGAAAGUGUUUAUAGCCUUGUGCCUCUGCAAUCGGAGAGAUUGAGGUCUGCAGCGUAGAUCCUUCGGGGUUAGAUACGUUUGUGCUAAGUUAUAGCUUUUCAUAGACAACUUGUUGACUAUGUUUAGUCUUGUAGCUUACUCGCUUACGCUAUUUUACCUACGCUUAGGAUGUUGAUCUCUCACAGUCGAGC
RNAcentral lists this ribosomal RNA (774 nucleotides) under uncultured Neocallimastigales. Its description in RNAcentral is "partial large subunit ribosomal RNA". It matches the Rfam family "Eukaryotic large subunit ribosomal RNA", at positions 22 to 645 of the family's 3401-position model. The record is from RNAcentral. Lineage: Eukaryota; Fungi; Neocallimastigomycota; Neocallimastigomycetes; Neocallimastigales.